UAUUAUCGCGAAACGAAGCAAGGAGGAACUCAUAAUUGGAGAAGAACAUCCAGGAGGAACGAUCGCCAAGUCUGUUGGAAGAGUAGUAUGACGCAUGAUCGUUAGGUUGAGGACACAAGACAUCACUAUGACGUAACUGAGCUAGGCGAGAAGACUGCGCGUCCUUGCGCUACUCGCGGCACUUGGGCCAAUUAAAGCAUUCAAGAGACUAAUCAAUUGUGUACCGACAAGUCGUUUGCAGGGGCUUAUAAAAAGAAGCGGAGAAAACGAGCUACGAUCGUUUCGUCGACGAUCUUCUUCCUUGAACAUGGAGAAAAAGAAGAAAAAUAUGAAAACCGACGAUGGAAUAAUAAUACGAUUGAAAUACGUAUUAUAAUAUAAUGGAUAGCAGAGUGAGAAGUAGUGUCAGACAGUAGUUAGUCAGACAGUGCCGGUCUACAUUCUACUUAAUACCACUAAUUACUUGUAUUAAAACCUCCACGCAAUUACGUAAUACUUAAUGAUAAUUGGAGUUUUAAUUAAGAUAAAAGAAUGUCUAUAAGUACAUUGAAAUUAUAUAUUACUAAAUAUACUACUAUAUCUAUUAAAUUCUUUGAUUUAUAUAACUUUCAGAUAAUCCACACAAAGUUAAAGUAAUUUAGUUAAAGAAAAAAGUGACUAUUAUCAUCUAUUUUAAUAAAGAUACGAUCGAUUUGAUGUAUACAUAUCUAGUAGCAGAUGUCAUAGAUAAAUUAUUUAUUCGCGUUUCUUCUAAUCGAUUGUGAAUCGAUCAGAAGAACUCUAGAAGUUACGAAGAACUAAAAUAUUCGAACGUCAUCGACUGAUCGAAUGUAUCACUUGUUGGCAAGAUGAAAGAGAUCCGUAACUAUGAGCCAAUCCCUGUGGCACCAGAGAUGGAAAGGAUGCUACAUUUUCUCGUUCUCCUUUAGAACCAACGAAAAACCAAUAAUACUUUUCGCGUGACACUCGGACCAAAUGCAUUCUUUCACAAACAAGAAAAUUAGUCACGAAUCCGACGUUUACGUUUACGGAAUGUUUCGCACGUGUCGCGAAUUACACAAUUCCAGUGAUUUAUUUCUCGUUAGCACAAUUUAUCACGUCUUCCAAUGAAAUAACAAAAAGCUAAACGUACUUACGUCAACGGUAAAAAUACUUUUACGCAACAAAUUCACUCUAUUUUAUUCCAAUCAAUCACCGAUAAAAAGCAAAACAGAAAAUGAAGUUUAUUUCUACAGAGAAUUUUUGGAAGAUUCCAAAUAAAAAUCAAAAAGUCGAAGUUUCAAUCUCAAGUUGCCACUGUUGGAAAAACUUCGUGUUUUAAUAAAAGUUUUUACAAGAAUUCACAGUUUCUUCCACGAUAUUCUUAUAUAGGCCAAGCUGGUGCACAAAUCAACACGAAUUGAUCCAAAGUAUGUUGGUUAAUUAAGAGUCAGUCAGUUAACUUGCAGCGAUAAGUACCAAUAUUUAUACCAUAAUCUUCGUUUUAUCUGAACAGUCUAAUUUCAGCCAAUUUUCAGAUGAUCUUAUCGAGACAGCUCCUAAGGAAUGUAUCUGGAAGCAACGAUACCAAACGAAAGCUCUGCUCGAGUAGACGUUCAUUGCCCCUCAUCAUUUCGUUCUUCGUAUCUAUGAAAAGUAUUCGAGAAGCAAAUAGAAUAAAUAACGCCGGAGAUAUACAACGAAUCGAAUCUUCGAGGGGAAAUGUUGAUCUUCAAUUGCGUUUCAAAAGUGUGUUUAAUUGUUCGAGAUAAUAGCUCCCUAUAUUUUCUAUAAGAAUUCGUGUUAAAUCAAAUCUUCGAGAAAGUAUGUUGAUCCCUAGCUACGUUUUAAAAUGUGUAUAAUUGUUCGAGAAAAUUGUCUUCUGUAUUUUCUGUAAGAAUUCUGUAUUAUUUUAGUGAAAAUUAGACAUAGAGUAUUGAGGUAAGAUUCACUUAUUUUCUUAUAUAAGCUUUUUUUUUAAAGAUCUUUGAUUUCUUGAUGUGAGGAUUCUUUUUCCUAUUUGGUAAUUUUACUUUCUCUACUAUCUAGAGAAAUUGGUAUUAUUUUGUAGAAAUUGGAUGUCGAACAUUUGGCUAAGAGAUAUUAGAAUUUGAAUUUAAUAUAAAAUCUCUUGUUUCACUUAUGAUUUAUUUAAAUUUUCUCCUUCUUGUGGAAAACUCUUGUUUUAUGCUAUUUGCUGGUUUUAUGAUCUCCAUUAUCCACAGAAAUCAAUUUUAUUUUAUGGAAUUUUGGUAGAAAGCAUUUGACUUUGGUUUUGAUAAAAAAUUUCUUUUUUCUUCUUAUAAAAGAUUUAAUAUAACAAUUGUUCUUGUUAUAAAAAAACGUAAUGAUUCUCUUUCCUUCUAAAUUUUAAUAUUCUUCUAUUUUAAUUAAUCGAUACUGACUUCUCUGAUGAAAAACAUUAUAAUUCUAAAUUUAAUACGAAUCAGUGAACUACAGUGUGAUAUUUUUCUCAUUAUAUCGUUGAUGUGUUCUCAUAUCCAUGUUCUGCUCCCGUUACAUUCAACUUAGAUUUUGUUUGACCGAUCGCUGUACACGAGUUGUUGGAUCGUUGCCUCUGUUACUCGUUACACAAACCUAAUGGAGUUACCGGUGUUUUCCAGCAGAAAAUUGAAGCUAACAUGUAGUUUAUCACUUCGACGCGUAAUUCACUAGUUUUCACCGAUCGUCACUCGUUUUUCGAGCAUUUAAAAAAAUCUUUAACCGCUCAAACUGGAGCCACGAGUUAGCUCGAUCCAUCACGAUUAAUCACCGAUCGAACUGACCAUUUAAUAUUGCUUUCGCGAGGUACAACAAUAUAUCAUACCUUGUACACUCUGCACGACACUUAUCAUACUGUUCUAUACGUAUAAACAGAGACAAUUAUUGAUCUUAUCUUAUCGACAACGUGUUGUACCAUCGAAUGUAUUUCGUAAUAUGAAACAAAUCAUGCUAUUGGUAUUUUUUUCUCAAUUAAAAAAUCUUCCACUCGCCGAUAUCAUAUUUUCAAAUUCAUCCUAAGGGAAGAUAUUUUUCUGUUUCUUAUUUUAUCGCAAUUUUUCGGCAGAAAAAGAAAAAGAUUCUUUUCAUGCAAUCUUUUGUCGUAAGAUUGAGUAAAUAACAAUUGGAUAUGAUAAAAAUGAUAACGACUCGACGCCGUCAAUUAAUUUAAUUUAUAUUUAAAGAGCCAAGUAUUUUAGGAAAUUUAUAUUCAUAGAGCGAAAUAUGCGGAUGUUUAUGCAAACUGAUAUUUCUACAAAUAUAAUUAAAGCUAUAAGACCUAUAUAAAAAAUAGUUUCAUCUAAAUAUAAUAUAACAUAUACCACAUAUAAUACAACAUCGACAAACAUAAAUAUUAUAACAGGUUCCAAUUUCUGGAUAUUUUAUGUGUUCCUACAGAUUAUGUACAUUACGUUGUUUAAAAUCCUCGUGAACACAUAAAAAUCCGCAGGUGAAUUACAAUAAAUAGAAAUUUUACUUGACACGAUGCAAGAGCAUCGCAUCUUAUCGCUUACUGAAAAAUAAUUUUAAAAACCGAAGUAAAUCAAAUAAAUGGUCAAUUAUCGUUACCUUGUGGCAACUGUUACUGAUAAUUCCGCGAUAAAAAUAUGGUCAUUCGUAAUAGAUAUGAUAUCGAGUAAAAAAAAAAAACGAAAUUGAUUCGUGGAAUAUCGAAUGAAAGUAAGCGCGACAAUGAUAUAAUUCUAUCCGUGAAUAUGAAUGUCUCAUGUUUGUGAUUGAUCAUAAAUUUUGUGUUACAGUUUUCAGUAUUAAAUUUUAAAAAAUUCUGUCUAUGAAUAUGAAUGUUACAUAUCCAUGAUUUGAUCAUGCAUUUCGUAUUACAAUUUCCAGCAUUAAAUUCUAAAUAUUUCUCUGAUGUAUAGGACUUAUGUAAAUGUUUUUAAUGUGUUAUAUAUCUUCAAUAAUAUUAUGGUAUCCUAAUAUCAUCUGAUCCUAAACUAUAAAAUUGAUAAAUGAGAUUCAUCGUCCUACAGAGGUAUUUAAUCAAAAUUAGACUUUGGAGAAAGAUUGUACAUUUCAUAAUAGCUAUAAAGACAGCUGCUUGAGAUCAGGUUGGGUAAAAUAAUUCGUCCUGGCACCCAAUGACAUUCACAACCGAUAGGUAUCUCGUAAAAGCAUUUUUGGCAUCAUAUUGCUAUGCUAUGACCACUCGUUUAUUAUCGUUCGCUAAUCGUUGAACGAUUAUCGUUAAUGAUUCACCAUACACUAUUUAUACAAUACACCAUUUUGUAACACUAAAAAUGAAAAACUGAUUCGCUUACGAGCAAAAUCAACUAAACACUGGCGUAUAAAUGAUGACCGAUGUCCAUCAUUUUCUUUGACAUCUACUGAAGCAAUAAGAAGAGCUUGCUAUUUAUUAAAAACACACACGAUUAUUUAUAUCUAUAAAUAUCAUCAAAAUUGUUUACUAGUACAAACAUCUACAAGGUAGAAUAUCAACUAUAGUAUCAUAAUGGCAACAUAAUUACGAACGUAAUUUUUCAUGCUUCCUAGAAUUUCGAAUUAUCCACGAAAGCGUUAAAUUGAUCGUGAAAAAAAUUACUCGAGGGAAUCCUUGGAGCUUUGACACGUGAAUGACAGACGGCAUUGUGUGUUGAGAUUAAUCCUACGAUAAUCGACGAACACGUCGACUGUGAAUCUUCCCUCUGGCAGCGAUUUCACACCCCCUUUGUGCUCCAAAGAGGAAGUUAAAGUUCGACUCUUCUGGCACACGAUUCAAUCUUCGAGGGAAUCGAGACGAUAAAUCACUGUCGCACCCAGUAUUCUUCGUGUAUUGGCACACUGUCGAAGGUAAACGAAAAUAGUCGUGCCCCUCUAACGUGUAAAAUUCUAGCACAUAGGAAGAUGAUCGACGAUAUCGAAUUGUUGUUCAAGAAAGCAAUGAUGAUGGUUGGAUCGAGAAUAUAACUGUAUACAAGAUCAUGAAAGUAUUUGACUGUCUGUAGACGAUAUUGAAUCGUUGUCGAAGAAAGGAAUGAUGAUGAUUGAUCGCGAAGGAAGAUUCGAAGCUAUAUAUAAGAUUAUGAAAGUAUUUGAUCGCCUGUAGACGAUAUUAAAUCGUGAAUUGAAGAAUGAAAUGAUGAUGAUUGAUCAAGAAAGAAAAUUCGAAGAUGAAAGUAUUCGAAUACUUGUAGACACCUUAUUAUUAAUACGAAUAUAUUAUAACGAAUAUAUUAGAUGUAUUAUCUGGAACAUUUUGAAAUUUCAUUAACACUGUAAUGAGACUCGACUAUCAUGAUUAUAUCGGUAACGUUUGGAACCUGUUUGAAAAUAUACGUAGAAAAUACAAGAUGUUUGAUGCAAGUAUAUAUUUUGUACAGAUUAGAAAAGGCGUAACAAGCAUCAGAAUUUAAAGAAUAAGUUAUGUAUUAUAUCAGUAAAUUUCAAUAAAACGAUAUUUAAUUUAUUAUCAAGUUAUUAUUAUGCUCAAGGUGGCUUCUCAUACUGUAUAUUAAUUUUUCACUAAAUAUAUGUUUGCAGUAAAUACCAUUCACAUCAAUCAAUAUCAAUACAUCAAUCGUGACUGUCUCAUUACAAUGCUGAUGGAAUUUCAAAAAUGUUUUAUAUAACACAUACGAUGUACAGUGUCGCGAAUAAUUAUAAACACUUAACUCUAUUUAUACAUUUUUCAUAAUAUUAAAACAACAAUUGACAAAAUCGUUUAUAUAAUUUCAUAUUAUAAAAUAAAACAAAACUCAAGAUACAACAAGUAAAUAUUUUCCUUCGUUCUUCUUUCGCAGUCUGGAAAAAUGAAAUUUCCUCUUAAAAUUGUGUUUUCUGUGAAAAAACAUAAAUUCAAUGUUAAUUUAGUUACGUUUUUGUUCAAUACUAAGUGGGUUUGUCUUUAUUUUUGAUUACUUCUAUUAUUCUGUGAAAAUCCAAUAUCUAUUAACUUAUUUAAAGUUUCGCUUUGAGUAUCCGGCUACACGAAUUUUAUUCUUUUUUUAAUUCCAGUGAUAUUUUCUAUAGAAGGCUUCCCCUGAUCGCAAAUUUUUCUUCUUAAAAUUGCCCAUAGCUUCUCGAUCGGAUUCGAAUCAGGACUCAACGCUGGCCAUGCUAACAAUCCUAUAAUCUUAAAAGCACUUCUUCCUAGUGAUGGCUGUAUGAAUAACAGCAUUGUCUCGUUGAAAGAUUUCAGUUAUAAAAGGCAAUAAUUCACCAUGUAACAUUUCCUAGUAUCCUAUGGCGUUCAAUUUAUCCUUUAUAAAAAUAAUUUCACUUAAUAUAUCCAAGCAUGAUCAGCGAUUUCUUAGAGAUAUUGAAGAAAUAAUUCAGUGUUUGAGUAUAUAAUUAUUCGCAACACUGUACACAUAUAUAUAUAAAUUUUCUAUAAUAAGUAUUCAAGUAAUUGCAUGAGCCACUGUAAACGAUACACAUUUAUAAAUUCUUGCAAAUUGACUUAGAUUUGAUUGAAAUGUUAGAACAUUGGCCCACGGUUAGAAUUGGACAGGAUUGAGUAAUUGAGAUAGACAAAUAGCAGGGUAAAUUAGUAAGACACAGGAAGUGGCAUAUGAUUAAAUCUGCUCUAUAUUUAAGCUAUUUCUGAAUGGUUAUUUGGAUUCGUCAGGAUUACGUAUAACGUAGAGCAAAGACUACGUGGGGAAAUUCGAUUGGUGUAAAAUAAGCUGUUGGGUUUAUGCGCUGUGGGUUAGUGUUGCUAUAUGUGGUGUUCCUUUUUGAUCCAUGUGGAUGGCUGAGAAAUUUAGAUUAGAUUGUAAUACAUAUAUAUAUAAAUACUAUAAAAAACUUAAACUAA
RNA transcript from Bombus pyrosoma, 6757 nucleotides. It is a transcript of the gene named tRNA (guanine-N(7)-)-methyltransferase, with no coding region annotated. NCBI's taxonomy places the organism in Eukaryota, Metazoa, Arthropoda, Insecta, Hymenoptera, Apidae. The transcript has 5 exons. The record is from RefSeq and is a predicted model, not a curated record.